UACGGGGGGGGCAAGCGUUGUUCGGAAUUACUGGGCGUAAAGGGCUCGUAGGCGGCCAACUAAGUCGGACGUGAAAUCCCUCGGCUUAACCGGGGAACUGCGUCUGGUACUGGAUGGCUUGAAUCCGGGAGAGGGAUGCGGAAUUCCAGGUGUAGCGGUGAAAUGCGUAGAUAUCUGGAGGAACACCGGUGGCGAAGGCGGCAUCCUGGACCGGCAUUGACGCUGAGGAGCGAAAGCCAGGGGAGCAAACGGG
This 253-nucleotide ribosomal RNA is filed under the name uncultured bacterium. Its description in RNAcentral is "partial 16S ribosomal RNA". It matches the Rfam family "Bacterial small subunit ribosomal RNA", at positions 524 to 776 of the family's 1533-position model. The record is from RNAcentral.